GGGCGCCCGGAGCCGCUGCCGGCACGGCGAGCGAGGGGACGGGCGAAACUGCCCUUGUAAGCAGAUUAUACGCUGAUGCUUGGAGCAGCAAGUCGAGCAUAAGCAGACCUCUGUCUUCAUCUGCAGGUAAGAAUUCAGCACCAAAACCCUCCAAGAGAGAGUUUGCCUGCUUCCUUCUGAAAGUACU
This 187-nucleotide long non-coding RNA is filed under the name Cyanistes caeruleus (blue tit). RNAcentral's name for it is "lncRNA (ENSCCEG00000000103.1)". The record is from RNAcentral. Lineage: Eukaryota; Metazoa; Chordata; Aves; Passeriformes; Paridae.